Molecule: long non-coding RNA, 1159 nt
Filed under: Equus asinus (donkey)
Lineage: Eukaryota; Metazoa; Chordata; Mammalia; Perissodactyla; Equidae
Description: lncRNA (ENSEASG00005024153.1)
Source: RNAcentral
GAAAACACUGUGGCCGACUACGAUCGAUUCUUGUUAUCCCGAGUAGUUAAGUUUUAUGAAGUCACCGUGAACACUGCAUUACGAAUUCUGAACCACUCAUCCUGGGAGAAGCACACAGCUGGUGGAAACAGUUCAGUCCAGAUGCACCCUGCGCAGCUCUGCACCAAAAGAAUGGAAUGUUCCAGAGCCCCAGGUGGUCUGGGGCCCGGUGGUGAGGCUCCAGGAGGAGAGCUCCUAAGCCCUUCUACCUGCAGGGAACUGGGAAAAUGUCACAAAUCAGCUUUCCUUCCUUUUACCCUCUACAGCUCUGGGAGGUGAGAGGAGGGCAGAAACCUCCCCAGUUCAUGCGUCUCUCCCCAGCACAGAGUUAGGCUCCCUGAAGGAUUUGUUGAAUGAAUGCCGAAGAAAACAGAAACCCAGAUUAAUCAAACAGCUUACUUAAAGCCAAAAUCGAGAGAGUGAAUAAGAUAACCGUUGAGGGAAGCCAGAUGGGUGUGAAGGAUUAUGAUAACAACCCAACGCCAGGGGGCGGAGGAGUCAAAUGGUGACCAGGGUGAGCAGAGAGGCUGCAGAGACAGGUACUGCGUUAAAAACAGGAGAUCAAGCAAACGUGAGGAGUCUUGAGCCAGACACUCACUAGGCAGCUGACAGUUUAGCUCGUUUCCAUUUCCUCUUCCUCCUUUAGGACCAGCUCGCUACUCCUUUCCACGGAAUCUGAGGAGCUGAGAUUCCUGGCCAUGGAGAGUUGUCACUUCCUGGGCUCACUCAGAGGUGAGGUGACGUUCCAUGCUCACUGUCAGUUUUGAAACAAGCAGUGUCACUGUGCUGCGGGUGUGACUUGGCCCGUCACAGCCCUCCUGCGUUAGGAAACAUGGUUUCUGAGCCAUCACUGUCGGGCUGCCUGAUGGCGAGGUGCCCAUCUGAGCGUGUCCCCUGUUGACAGCGCUUGACAAGCGUCGUGCCGGUCUUGCUUUUAGAUGCUGCACAGCAGGAGCUCUGGUCUGCAUAACGCGGCACGAUGAAGCGGAAAGAGUAUGGACAAGGGGGCAGAAAGCUGGGCUCUGCCACCCGCCAGCUAGGGGACCUUGAGCAAGUCGGCUUGCCCUUGCCAGUACGUAAACCAUCUCGUUGGGACAGUGCAACAAGAUGGUGCCUGGGA